Molecule: ribosomal RNA, 492 nt
Filed under: uncultured bacterium
Lineage: Bacteria
Description: partial 16S ribosomal RNA
Rfam family: Bacterial small subunit ribosomal RNA
Source: RNAcentral
AGUGAACGCUGGCGGUAGGCCUAACACAUGCAAGUCGAACGGCAGCACAGUAAGAGCUUGCUCUUACGGGUGGCGAGUGGCGGACGGGUGAGGAAUACAUCGGAAUCUACUUUUUCGUGGGGGAUAACGUAGGGAAACUUACGCUAAUACCGCAUACGACCUACGGGUGAAAGCAGGGGAUCUUCGGACCUUGCGCGAUUGACUGAGCCGAUGUCGGAUUAGCUAGUUGGCGGGGUAAAGGCCCACCAAGGCGACGAUCUGUAGCUGGUCUGAGAGGAUGAUCAGCCACACUGGAACUGAGACACGGUCCAGACUCCUACGGGAGGCAGCGGUGGGGAAUAUUGGACAAUGGGCGCAAGCCUGAUCCAGCCAUACCGCGUGGGUGAAGAAGGCCUUCGGGUUGUAAAGCCCUUUUGUUGGGAAAGAAAAGCAGCAGGUUAAUACCCCGCUGUUCUGACGGUACCCAAAGAAUAAGCACCGGCUAACUUCGUG